CCUACGGGUGGCAGCAGUGGGGAAUAUUGCACAAUGGGGGAAACCCUGAUGCAGCGACGCCGCGUGAGUGAAGAAGUAAUUCGUUACGUAAAGCUCUAUCAGCAGGGCAGAAAAUGACGGUACCUGAGUAAGAAGCCCCGGCUAACUACGUGCCAGCAGCCGCGGUAAUACGUAGGGGGCAAGCGUUAUCCGGAUUUACUGGGUGUAAAGGGGGCGUAGACGGUGCGCAAAGUCUGGUGUGAAAUGCCGAAGCUUACCUUCGGAACUGCUUUGGAGACGGGCGAACUAGAGUGCGGGAGGGGUAAGCGGAAUUCCUAGUGGAGCGGUGAAAUGCGUAGAUAUUAGGAGGAACACCGGUGGCGAAGGCGGCUUACUGGACCGUAACUGACGUUGAGGCUCGAAAGCGUGGGGAGCAAACAGGAUUAGAUACCCCUGUAGUC
RNAcentral lists this ribosomal RNA (440 nucleotides) under uncultured bacterium. RNAcentral describes it as "partial 16S ribosomal RNA". It matches the Rfam family "Bacterial small subunit ribosomal RNA", at positions 338 to 795 of the family's 1533-position model. The record is from RNAcentral.